UGGGAGCUUGCUCCCUGAAGUCAGCGGCGGACGGGUGAGUAACACGUGGGCAACCUGCCUGUAAGACUGGGAUAACUCCGGGAAACCGGGGCUAAUACCGGAUAACUCUUUUCCUCACAUGAGGAAAAGCUGAAAGUCGGCAUCUCGCUGACACUUACAGAUGGGCCCGCGGCGCAUUAGCUAGUUGGCGAGGUAACGGCUCACCAAGGCGACGAUGCGUAGCCGACCUGAGAGGGUGAUCGGCCACACUGGGACUGAGACACGGCCCAGACUCCUACGGGAGGCAGCAGUAGGGAAUCUUCCGCAAUGGACGAAAGUCUGACGGAGCAACGCCGCGUGAGCGAUGAAGGCCUUCGGGUCGUAAAGCUCUGUUGUUAGGGAAGAACAAGUGCCGUUCGAAUAGGGCGGCACCUUGACGGUACCUAACCAGAAAGCCACGGCUAACUACGUGCCAGCAGCCGCGGUAAUACGUAGGUGGCAAGCGUUGUCCGGAAUUAUUGGGCGUAAAGCGCGCGCAGGUGGUUUCUUAAGUCUGAUGUGAAAGCCCACGGCUCAACCGUGGAGGGUCAUUGGAAACUGGGGAACUUGAGUGCAGAGGAGGAAAGUGGAAUUCCAAGUGUAGCGGUGAAAUGCGUAGAUAUUUGGAGGAACACCAGUGGCGAAGGCGACUUUCUGGUCUGUAACUGACACUGAGGCGCGAAAGCGUGGGGGAGCAAACAGGAUUAGAUACCCUGGUAGUCCACGCCGUAAACGAUGAGUGCUAAGUGUUAGAGGGUUUCCGCCCUUUAGUGCUGC
Molecule: ribosomal RNA, 795 nt
Filed under: uncultured bacterium
Lineage: Bacteria
Description: bacterial SSU rRNA
Rfam family: Bacterial small subunit ribosomal RNA
Source: RNAcentral